UCGGGGUGGUGCGACCCGCAACUGUGCGGGUCCUACUUGUCUCUUUUUCCACAGAAAGACAGCCGCUGCGAAUUCUGGACUCACCCAAAGUCCAGAAGCUUCCCUGUAAAGGGCAUGGCCGCCGAGGCAGCUGAAGAUCCCGGUUUGCAGUCCCGCAAGUUCCUUAGCCAGCCCCCUCCCCCGGGCAGGCAGCUAAGCCGCGCACCCACAACGCUGCCAGGCAAUGGCCUUCCCUCUCGCAGCCCUUUCCGAUCGCUUCAGGAAUCUGCAUGGACCAGGAAGCAUCAGUCGGGACAUCCUGUUUCCAAGUUUCCUCUGAGUGCAAGACGCAGAGUGGCACAGCGUUACGAGAGGGCGAGCAAUCUGCAAACGCCGAGCUACAGGGGAGCCUAGAAACGGCAGGGACAAAGGGUGGGGUGUGGAAGUUUACUUACAGGAGUCUGCAGGCUCCACUACCUAAAGCAGGUGGUUGGGACUGCGCCGCAGAGCGUCUGGAGCCGGUGUUUAGGUGGAUCCCCGAAGGGGGUGAGGCUUGAGGCUUUCCCCAGGGCGGGGCUUUCUGGAAGGGUGGGGGGAAAUGCUGCGUAGGAAAGCCAGCCCUGCCCCUUGCUGCUCAGGCAGGCAGGAGAGAGAGAAAAGGCGGGAAAGGCGGGUCUCCCAGCGGCCCCAGUCAGUCCCAGGCUUCCCACACUGUCAAUUAUAGACCCCCAACUCUGAGCCCAAUCCUGGUCAGUCCUGUAAACGGAGAAAUAAUGCUAAGACCACAAAUGUUACCCUUCUCCAUAAUCAUUCAGUACAUUUAGAAGGUUUCUCCCCUGGUUUUCACAAAAAUGGAAUCAUUCCAAAGAUAAGACUCAGCACCUUUUUCUUCAGCCUGAACAUUCUCAGACCAGGGUUACCUAAACCAGUUGUGUUAACCAGGGUAGGAUUCCUUUUUUCCCUUUGCUUGGUUUUCUUUCUUUCUCUCUUUUUUCAGAAGACUAAUUUUACUUUUACCCGCUUUUGGUAAUAUGUGCAAUGUUAGAAUGCACUUGCAUAACAUGUAGUUAAGUAAAUCAAAUAAAGAAUCCAGGUCAUGAGUUACAGCACACGCUGGAAAUUCUGAGAAAGGAGAACACACAUUAACAAAAAACACCAGCAAGCUCAAACUCAGGUUUAUAUGCUGAGUAUUUUUAAAGGCUUUAAAAAGCAUGCUCAAUCAGCAUACAGCAUUUUCUUCCUUAUAUAACAGAUGUGCUUCUAUUUGCUUGUUUACAGCAAAGGGUAAGAUUCUGAAUUAAUUUACUUAGGAUUUCAGAAAUGCAUUCCAUGGAUUUUGCUUCAAUGCUCCUGCCAUUGAUUCUUCAAAUAAGCAAAGUUCAGAGUUUCAUCCUUUGAAAUUGCUUUUAAUCACUAGCAGUUUAAAUUGAAAGAUAAUAAGUAGAAACCUGGCAAUUCCUCAUAUACUGCCUGAACUUAAGUCUCAUUUAAUAUAAGAGUUGGAUAUACAACAGCAAAUUUAUCCAUUUUCUCUAUCCUUAGAGGAGAGGGAAGGAAAAUAAGAUGAGGCAUGGAUAUAGUUGCAGUGUUUAAGAGCUGAAUGGAACAGUGAAUCUUUCGUAAUGCUCUCAACUCCAUAAUGAAGAACCACCAUGAAUCUUAAUCAAUUUUUUAGUUCAUGCUGGAUGAAGAAUUUAGGUUUCCCUCUUUGUAUAUCAUACUUCAUAUUCUCCAAGUUACAAAGGUUAAAUUACAAAGAUAAAUUCUCCAAAUUACAAAGGUUAAAUUACAAAGAUAAAUUCUAGCUGCAACAGAUAUUUCCUAAGUAGGAGACCAAACAGCAAAGGGAACUCUUUCUUCCAACAUUUGAUAUGUUAAAAUUUCACUGAAGUGGUAAUCUAACACUUAAAAUAUGAAAUCUCUUGGCCAAGUAAGAAACAACCGCUACUAUGGGUAUUAUCCUACUUAAAUGUAUCACAUAUUAUAUUAAACCCACCAUUAAAUGUGCUUGCACAGUUA
This is a non-coding RNA of Sus scrofa (pig), 1998 nucleotides long. The record is from RefSeq and is a predicted model, not a curated record. Lineage: Eukaryota; Metazoa; Chordata; Mammalia; Artiodactyla; Suidae.